This 362-nucleotide ribosomal RNA is filed under the name Anaplasma marginale. Its description in RNAcentral is "bacterial SSU rRNA". It matches the Rfam family "Bacterial small subunit ribosomal RNA", at positions 97 to 494 of the family's 1533-position model. Lineage: Bacteria; Pseudomonadati; Pseudomonadota; Alphaproteobacteria; Rickettsiales; Anaplasmataceae. The record is from RNAcentral.
GGCAGACGGGUGAGUAAUGCAUAGGAAUCUACCUAGUAGUAUGGGAUAGCCACUAGAAAUGGUGGGUAAUACUGUAUAAUCCCUGCGGGGGAAAGAUUUAUCGCUAUUAGAUGAGCCUAUGUCAGAUUAGCUAGUUGGUGGGGUAAUGGCCUACCAAGGCGGUGAUCUGUAGCUGGUCUGAGAGGAUGAUCAGCCACACUGGAACUGAGACACGGUCCAGACUCCUACGGGAGGCAGCAGUGGGGAAUAUUGGACAAUGGGCGCAAGCCUGAUCCAGCUAUGCCGCGUGAGUGAGGAAGGCCUUAGGGUUGUAAAACUCUUUCAGUAGGGAAGAUAAUGACGGUACCUACAGAAGAAGUCCC